ACAAAAUGGUGUUACGGAGGGAAAGGAUGGUGUUUGAAUUGCUAGAACAUUUACGUACAGUGAACAUGCAACUAGUACAUGAGUGUCAUGUUUAAAUUUGGAAUUAUUCCGAGUUCGUUUGGCAUUUUUAUGAUUAAUUGAGUUUCUCGGCAUUUAAUGUGCAUAAUUCAAAUUUGAACUACAAGCACAUGUUCCAGUGCACCAAAGUUUGUUGAAAAAACACAUGUGUGUCUUUGGGUCAAUUUAUAGGUGCCAUGCAAGAAAUGGGAAUGAAAUUCAAACAUCUGGGCGUCGUGGCUCGGCCGGAAAGAUUGAGAAACUUGGUUUUUUAAUUCAUGUAAAUCCAAAACAUGCCUGAAAAUCAUGAAACUUCGCAUGGUGUCAUGACAUGGCACCAACAUGCCGCGGUAAUUUUUUUGGCCGAAUUGGGACAAGCUUUGGUAUAAACUUUUUGCAAACCGGAGCUUCUCUCAAGAAGGCUUGUGGUUUCCAGAGGGAACGCGUCACCUCCGUGUGCGAAACGACAUACAUACACUGCCUUCUCCCGCCUUAAUUUUUUUACACAGGCAUAUUAGACCAAAUAGAAGUAUUGUGCUAAAUUUUGUAAUUAUUCCGGGUUCGUUUGGCCAUUUUUAUAUAUUAAUUGAAUUUCUGGGCAUUUAAUGUGCAUAAUUCAAAUUUGAACUACAAGCACAUGCUCCAGUGCACCAACGUUGGUUGAAAAAUCACAUGUGUGUCCUUGGGUGAAUUUCUAGGUCCCAUGCAAGAAAUGGGAAUGAAAUUCAAACAUCUAGGCGUCGUG
Molecule: long non-coding RNA, 802 nt
Filed under: Triticum aestivum (bread wheat)
Lineage: Eukaryota; Viridiplantae; Streptophyta; Magnoliopsida; Poales; Poaceae
Description: long non-coding RNA (TAES_LNC000250)
Source: RNAcentral